GAAUUUUAUAUAAAUUUUUUAUGAGGUAUAGAAUUAAAGUUAUUAUUAAAUUUAUAUUUUAUUGGGAGGAUAAGUAAAUUAGGUAAACUUUAGUUAUAUAAAGUAAGUCAUUAAUUUAUGAUAAGUGAAAUAAAUGAAUGAUUAGUUAAGUUAAAGAAGAAUUAAUUACCUUAGGGAUAACAGCAUAAUAUUUUUAGAAAGAUCAUAUUAAUAAAGAUGAUUGU
This 224-nucleotide ribosomal RNA is filed under the name Nylanderia sp. IT14.01. RNAcentral's name for it is "partial large subunit ribosomal RNA". The record is from RNAcentral. Lineage: Eukaryota; Metazoa; Arthropoda; Insecta; Hymenoptera; Formicidae.